RNAcentral lists this transfer RNA (61 nucleotides) under Fukomys damarensis (Damara mole-rat). It matches the Rfam family "tRNA", at positions 6 to 65 of the family's 71-position model. Rfam says of the family: Transfer RNA (tRNA) molecules are approximately 80 nucleotides in length. Their secondary structure includes four short double-helical elements and three loops (D, anti-codon, and T loops). The record is from Rfam by way of RNAcentral. Lineage: Eukaryota; Metazoa; Chordata; Mammalia; Rodentia; Bathyergidae.
AGUAGUUCAGUGAUAGAACCUGUGCUUAGUGUGCAUAAGGGCCUGAGUUCAAUCCCCAGCU